GUGCAGCAGGCGCGAAUCCCUCGCAAUGCGGGAAACCGCGACGAGGGGACUCCCAGUGCCUACGCUCAGCGUAGGCUGUUCCCGAGCCUAGAAAGCUCGGGGAGUAAGGGCUGGGUAAGACGGGUGCCAGCCGCCGCGGUAAUACCCGCAGCCCGAGUGGUGGCCACUAUUAUUGGGCCUAAAGCGUCCGUAGCCGGCCCGGUAAAUGCCUGGGUAAAUCGUGAGGCCUAACCUCACGAAUUCCGGGUAGACUGCCGGGCUAGGGGACCGGAGGAGGGAGAGGGGUACUCCAGGGGUAGGGGUGAAAUCCUGUAAUCCCUGGAGGACCACCGGUGGCGAAGGCGCUCUCCUAGGACGGGUCCGACGGUGAGGGACGAAAGCCAGGGGAGCGAACCGGAUUAGAUACCCGUGUAGU
RNAcentral lists this ribosomal RNA (415 nucleotides) under uncultured microorganism. Its description in RNAcentral is "bacterial SSU rRNA". It matches the Rfam family "Archaeal small subunit ribosomal RNA", at positions 330 to 745 of the family's 1478-position model. The record is from RNAcentral.